CCGUCCAACGGGAUGCACUGCUCUAGCCGCGCGUGCUCUUUUAAACAAUUGUUACAUGGGCAUUUAGUAAAGCAUGAGACAGAUGUUUUGAGAUUUGGAAAAAAAAAGCAAGUCAAAUACAUUAAGUUUUGCAAAAACAAAGGUGAUUCUAGUUUUCAUAGCUUUACGUGGGUAUAUACGAGCUAGGUUAAAAAUUGAGUCUUUUUGAAACGGACCGAGUCCUAGGUUUAAUUAGCACGCACUUGGGUGAGGAGGCUAAUCCGACACGAAAAAUAAGUUAACCUCAGGGAGUAGGUGCAGCUAGCCC
Molecule: long non-coding RNA, 307 nt
Filed under: Oryza brachyantha (malo sina)
Lineage: Eukaryota; Viridiplantae; Streptophyta; Magnoliopsida; Poales; Poaceae
Description: long non-coding RNA (OBRA_LNC000664)
Source: RNAcentral